GAUGAACGCUAGCGACAGGCUUAACACAUGCAAGUCGAGGGGCAGCACAGGGUAGCAAUACUUGGGUGGCGACCGGCGCACGGGUGAGUAACGCGUAUGCAACUUACCUAUCAGAGGGGGAUAGCCCGGCGAAAGUCGGAUUAAUACCCCAUGAGACAGGGGUCCCGCAUGGGAAUAUUUGUUAAAGAUUCAUCGCUGAUAGAUAGGCAUGCGUUCCAUUAGGCAGUUGGCGGGGUAACGGCCCACCAAACCGACGAUGGAUAGGGGUUCUGAGAGGAAGGUCCCCCACAUUGGUACUGAGACACGGACCAAACUCCUACGGGAGGCAGCAGUGAGGAAUAUUGGUCAAUGGCCGAGAGGCUGAACCAGCCAAGUCGCGUGAAGGAAGAAGGAUCUAUGGUUUGUAAACUUCUUUUAUAGGGGAAUAAAGUGGAGGACGUGUCCUUUUUUGUAUGUACCCUAUGAAUAAGCAUCGGCUAACUCCGUGCCAGCAGCCGCGGUAAUACGGAGGAUGCGAGCGUUAUCUGGAUUUAUUGGGUUUAAAGGGUGCGUAGGUGGUGAUUUAAGUCAGCGGUGAAAGUUUGUGGCUCAACCAUAAAAUUGCCGUUGAAACUGGGUUACUUGAGUGUGUUUGAGGUAGGCGGAAUGCGUGGUGUAGCGGUGAAAUGCAUAGAUAACACGCAGAACUCCGAUUGCGAAGGCAGCUUACUAAACCAUAACUGACACUGAAGCACGAAAGCGUGGGGAUCAAACAGGAUUAGAUACCCUGGUAGUCCACGCAGUAAACGAUGAUUACCAGGAGUUUGCGAUACAAUGUAAGCUCUACAGCGAAAGCGUUAAGUAAUCCACCUGGGGAGUACGCCGGCAACGGUGAAACUCAAAGGAAUUGACGGGGGCCCGCACAAGCGGAGGAACAUGUGGUUUAAUUCGAUGAUACGCGAGGAACCUUACCCGGGUUUGAACGUAGUCUGACCGGAGUGGAAACACUUUUUCUAGCAAUAGCAGAUUACGAGGUGCUGCAUGGUUGUCGUCAGCUCGUGCCGUGAGGUGUCGGCUUAAGUGCCAUAACGAGCGCAACCCUUAUCACUAGUUACUAACAGGUGAAGCUGAGGACUCUGGUGGGACUGCCAGCGUAAGCUGUGAGGAAGGUGGGGAUGACGUCAAAUCAGCACGGCCCUUACAUCCGGGGCGACACACGUGUUACAAAGGCAUGGACAAAGGGCAGCUACCUGGCGACAGGAUGCUAAUUUCCAAACCAUGUCUCAGUUCGGAUCGGGGUUCUGCGAACACGACUCCGUGAAGCUGGAUUUCGCUUAG
RNAcentral lists this ribosomal RNA (1317 nucleotides) under uncultured organism. RNAcentral describes it as "SSU rRNA". It matches the Rfam family "Bacterial small subunit ribosomal RNA", at positions 28 to 1339 of the family's 1533-position model. The record is from RNAcentral.